UCUUUUUGUAAUAUUUUUAAAGUCUAACCUGCCCACUGAAUAAAUUUAAAUGGCCGCAGUAUCCUAACUGUGCAAAGGUAGCAUAAUCAUUAGUCUUUUAAUUGAAGGCUGGUAUGAAUGGUUGGACGAGGUAUUAACUGUUUCAAAUUAAUUUUUUAUAGAAUUUUAUUUUUUAGUCAAAAAGCUAAAAUAUAAUUAAAAGACGAGAAGACCCUAUAAAUCUUUACUUUUAAAUUAUUUUAAUAAUAAAGAUAAAUUUUAUUAUAAUAGUUAAAAAAGUUUUAUUGGGGUGAUAUUAAAAUUUAAUAAACUUUUAAUUUUAUUUAAACAUAAAUUAAUGAAUAAUUGAUCCAGUUUUAUUGAUUAUAAAAUUAAGUUACUUUAGGGAUAACAGCGUAAUUUUUUUGGAGAGUUCUUAUCGAUAAAAAAGAUUGC
This 435-nucleotide ribosomal RNA is filed under the name Sepsis nigripes. RNAcentral's name for it is "partial 16S ribosomal RNA". The record is from RNAcentral. Lineage: Eukaryota; Metazoa; Arthropoda; Insecta; Diptera; Sepsidae.